RNAcentral lists this small RNA (3840 nucleotides) under Arabidopsis thaliana (thale cress). RNAcentral describes it as "ATSL094620". Lineage: Eukaryota; Viridiplantae; Streptophyta; Magnoliopsida; Brassicales; Brassicaceae. The record is from RNAcentral.
ACAUUGAUCAUAAGCAUUUAGAUAAAGCAUGCAUGGAGCUUCUAGUGAACUUAGUAGGAAGCGAUAUCCAACAAUAGCUUUAACCUGCAUUCUUUUUUAAGAAAAUUUCACGUUAUAACACCCUUGUGACUUUUUCUUUCACAAAUAGACAAAGUGGGCUGGGUCAACCACGUUUUAGCCAUUAGGCCCAAAAUGGCCGAAUUUGCCCUCCAACGAGAAACUGACGGAGGCGGUUUCGUUUCGUGGAACCGGUUCACUUUCCUUAACCGUUUUCUGGUUUCAAAAUAAUUUAAAUAUUUAAAAUUAUUAAUUUUAAAACUGAAAAUAAAUCAAAAACUGUCUUCUUCGAGAAAGCAGAACAGUUCCGUCGAAACGAAGAGUGGUUUCGAAGAACCAGAAAAAUUCCGACAAAACUGAAUCACAAUUCCGAUUGAGGCUCUGUUCGAGUUCUAGUCGUUGCUAAAGUGGAGAAAAUUUCGAUAGGGUUCGUGUUAAAGUGUGGAACAAUAAUACGCUUUUUGGGUUUAUCGAUUAACUGUUCAUAGAAGAGCUCUAAUGGCGGCGACGAGGAAGAGUAGUCGGCGGCGAGGAGUUUCGGAUAUUGAUGAGGCAUCGGCGGCGACGACAAAUCUGGGUUAGUUUUCCCUAACUUCGUUUGGAGAAUGAUUGAUUCAAAAUCUAGGUUAAUUUUAGAGAUUUCAACUCAUAAAUUUUCAAUUGACAAAGGGAUUUUGUUUUUUUCCGCCAAAAACAGUUGAUUGAGUAUAAAAGGUUUCGGUGUACGUGUAUAUGAAAAUCGAGUUUAUGUUUAGUUGGUAUUUGGAUAUAGUGUACGUGUUAAGAACUUCUUCGUCUUGCUCAACUUUCAGGAAGUACUUCUAAUGAUCCGGGUGAAUUACCACAGAGGUUGUUUGCACUCGAUCACUACCCUAGCAAGGCGAAGAUAAAUGCGUACUCCAGAGCGGAGUACAUUGGUCAAAUAGCAGCUGCGCUUAAGGACACACCAGAAAUGACGUUCCUUCUAGAUUCUCCAUUUGGUGACCUCUUUAGGAUCCCUACUAACAAGGCAUCCUUUUCUGGUAAACUUGUUCUUGGAUUAAUAUGCCGUCAGUUAGUUACAAAUAAACGUUAUGAGAUGUGGAUGGUAUUCGCUGGUCAUCCUAUUAGGCUCGGAUUAAGAGAAUGGGCACUUAUAACUGGUUUGGAAUGUGGAACCUAUCCUAAAGAUAAGGAUGUAGAAAGUGUUAUGCAGCGUGAGGAAGGUGAAAAUACAGUGUGGGCUACUCUGUUUGGAGAUGAUAAAGCUAAGCCAACAGUUGAAGAAUUAAGGGAUAGAUUGAUUUCUGAAACUGACAUGCCUGCAUGGAAGAAAUUAGCUCUCGCCCUAAUUAUCAUUGUGGAUGGUGUGCUAAUAUGUGACAAGUCUCCUCCUUUGAGACCAAAUGAGAUGACAGUUGAGCUGACGAAGAACCUUGAUUUCUUCUGUAAAUAUCCCUGGGGAAGGACAUCAUUUCUGCUUACUUUGGAGCGUAUCGCAAGUUUCAAAGGAGACACCGACGUUAAAAAACUCCGGAGUGGUUGCAAGCAACAUUCUUAUGCACUCCAUGGCUUCCCACUUGGACUCCAACUCCUUGCAUUCGCAACUAUACCGUCUAUUGCUAGUCUCCUACCUUCUGAAGGAGAUACCGCCGUGUUUACAGAGAGGACUAUUAAAAACCUUUCCAAAUUGCGUCCAAUCAAGACAUCCACCAUAUUGGCGUGCGAGUCUGCUGAACAGGUUUGUGCAGUUGUUGUUGUACGUACAUUGGUAUAAAAAAAUGAAGUACAUACACUCUGAAAUUAACAAUGAUCGUCUAUGUAGGUGGAUAUCACAUAUAUUGUGGACCCAGCAGACAGUAAUUGCCCAAAAUCUUUUGUAUGGAGGAAAGAAAAAGAGGACCCAAGAGUUGAUAACAUUUUAAGGAUGUUGAAAUCUGAGCAGGAGUGGAAUAAAAAAAUGUGGGUUGGAGGCGAUGAUGCGCCUAAGAAGCAAGUCCGGCCCUCAGCAACUGGAGAGAGAGGUAACCAUAUCUUUUCAUCGUAUAACUUAUAUCAGAAUUAGGUUCCUCUAAGAGUAGUAAUGCAUGAUUUAACCGUUUAAUAUAGUUAUUUUGAAGAGGCAAAGACGGGUGUCAGAUCCUGUUGAAAACAAAAAAAGGAAAAUUAGUCACUCUGAUGAUGGUGAAGGUGGACCCAGUGGUGGUGAUGGUGAAGGUGGACCAAGUGGUGGUGAUGGUGAAGGUGGACCAAGUGGUGGUGAUGGUGAAGGUGGACCAAGUGGUGGUGAUGGUGAAGGUGGACCCAAUGGUGCUGAUGGUGAAGGUGGACCCAAUGGUGCUGAUGGUGAAGUUGGAGACGAAGCGUUCGAUAAGUAUGCGGGCGAAUUGAGGAGUUUCUUCAAGAGGCAAACACAACUUUUGGAUAAAAAGUUUGAAGAUUUAAAAGUAUUUGUCCGUGAAGAGAUACGUGCUGCUCUACAGUCCCAGGACCGAAAGGAAGAAGGCCCACGAUCAUCUCACAAAUCUGAUUCACCAUCUGAGAAGGUUGAGAGGGUGACCAAAACUGUUGAGAAGGUGAACAAAAGGGUUGAGAAGGCGAACAAAAGAGUUGAGAAGGCAGCUGAACAGGUACAGAGAAAAUCUGUAAAGAAAUCCACCAAACCAAGAAAAUUUGUUCCAAGAAGAUCUUCCAGGUUGAACAAUACUCCCAAGAAGGCUGCAACUGGUAGUCUUCCUGUCGAGGUACGUCUACAGCAUGUACCUUGUGUAAAUACAAUCGAAAAAAGGUUUUUAUUAUGUGUACGUACAACCAAAUACUUAGGAAUGCGUUAUUGGUGUUUAUUCACAGGAGGUACCAGGCAAUGAUGGGGAUGGCGAAGUUUCAGCAAAACAGACCGUCUCUGACUAUGAUAUGGAAAACAUAUAUUUGGGUGGAGCAUCAUCAACUGAAGAGGUAACUCACUUGUGUAAUAGUCAUGUUAUAAUUUAUGCCUUAUUAUACGUACAAAAAGAAAUAUUACUGACCAAUUGUAUGGUUUUGAUUUCGAAGGAGGAAGGAGGGAACUCGGAGAUUGAAGAAGAUUCUUCAAAGUUACACCAAAAUGUAUCUGACUCUGUAAUGGAAGACAAUGUCGAUCGUGUUCCAUCACCAUCUCACCAGGUAACUUGUGUUCUUAUUAUUUCAUUAUUGUAUGUACAAAAUAUUUUAUGUUCUUAAUGUUCUUACUUUUGACAUAACAGCCCGAACAUGGCAUUCCUGAUGGUGGUAACUUUGAACAACUCUUGCCUGACCCAAUACUGUCUGACCCAGCCCUUGAGAAAAUGUCAGAUGAUGUAUCUUCCUCGUCCCAUCAGGUACAGGGUACGUACUACUAAUUUUUGUGUACGUACAUAUUAUUUCUAAUUUGUAUGCUUUGCAUUUGUAUAGGACGUUCAGAAAGGACUUGGUGGAAAUCCUGAAGAAGAAGUUGUUGCUCCUGAGUCACAACAGUUGGAGGAGCCACAAUCACCGGAGGUCAAGGUUAGGCAAGAAUUUGCUUUUGAAGUUACAGAAGAUGGCAAUCCCAGUGUACGUACAAUGUUUUUGAAAUCUGUUUCGCACCUUUGAAUGUUUUGCUGUGAGUUUGACUAAUACAAUGGCCAUCCAUCUCCAUAUAAUGAGGUCAGGCUGAAACAAUUUGUGGGGAAGGAGAGGAAGCUUUGAAGGAGGAUAAAUCUCCAACCGUUGUAGAUGAAGCCUUGGAGGUAUGUGUUACUAUUUUGCUCUUUGUAACGCUUAUUUGCCAAUUAGAGAUAUAACCAA